This 212-nucleotide ribosomal RNA is filed under the name Aspergillus tamarii. RNAcentral's name for it is "partial 28S ribosomal RNA". It matches the Rfam family "Eukaryotic large subunit ribosomal RNA", at positions 1 to 211 of the family's 3401-position model. The record is from RNAcentral. Lineage: Eukaryota; Fungi; Ascomycota; Eurotiomycetes; Eurotiales; Aspergillaceae.
UUGACCUCGGAUCAGGUAGGGAUACCCGCUGAACUUAAGCAUAUCAAUAAGCGGAGGAAAAGAAACCAACCGGGAUUGCCUCAGUAACGGCGAGUGAAGCGGCAAGAGCUCAAAUUUGAAAGCUGGCUCCUUCGGGGUCCGCAUUGUAAUUUGCAGAGGAUGCUUCGGGUGCGGCCCCUGUCUAAGUGCCCUGGAACGGGCCGUCAGAGAGG